GUGGAAACGAGAAUAAAGCGUGAAGGAUAACGUUGCGUCAGCAACGGCCCGUAGGGCGAGGCGAAGCCGAGUCAUCCUGCACGACCCACCA
RNAcentral lists this small RNA (91 nucleotides) under Salmonella enterica subsp. enterica serovar Infantis. RNAcentral's name for it is "partial RtT sRNA". It matches the Rfam family "RtT RNA", at positions 49 to 130 of the family's 130-position model. From Rfam's summary of the family: This family represents a bacterial cis-regulatory element known as RtT RNA. The exact function of RtT is unknown although it is thought that it may be involved in changing the cellular response in relation to amino acid starvation. Lineage: Bacteria; Pseudomonadati; Pseudomonadota; Gammaproteobacteria; Enterobacterales; Enterobacteriaceae. RNAcentral also lists the same sequence under 1 other name. The record is from RNAcentral.